GUAAGCAACGUGCCCCGAAAUCUGGGAUAUACAGUCGAAAGACUGGGCAAUACCGGAUACGGCCACCAGAAGGCAUCUUUUGGUGAUUAAAUGGUUUUUCGCUCCGGGAGCGGCUUACGGCCUAUCAGCUAGUUGGUGGGGUAAAGGCCUACCAAGGCUACGACGGGUAGGGGGUCUGAGAGGAUGAUCCCCCCGAGUGGGACUGAGACACGGCC
RNAcentral lists this ribosomal RNA (215 nucleotides) under uncultured bacterium. RNAcentral's name for it is "partial 16S ribosomal RNA". It matches the Rfam family "Bacterial small subunit ribosomal RNA", at positions 117 to 331 of the family's 1533-position model. The record is from RNAcentral.